GCAGUGCUUCGUGAAGUGCACGGUGACUUAAGACCCACUCCUGCCAGAGGAGCUUGAGGCAGAAAGACAAGAAAGAGGAGAGAUGAAAGAGGCAGAGAUGCUCUUUUUAUUCUCCCCCCUCUCUGUCACUGCAAGAUGGAAGCUGCUGCCCAACAGGAAGAUACAGAAACAUCAGAACAACGAGCCCCUGCAGCCUGAUAGCUUGGAGCUCCGGUGUAAAGGAGGUUCUGCUUUACACCUCUUCAGACCGAGAGAAGCAGAGCUGCACUCAGUAUCAGCGGGUUUUUCCACUACCGCUCU
This 300-nucleotide long non-coding RNA is filed under the name Gallus gallus (chicken). Lineage: Eukaryota; Metazoa; Chordata; Aves; Galliformes; Phasianidae. The record is from RNAcentral.